ACAUUAGCUCAGUCAGUAGAGCAUCUGCCUUGCAUGCCAAAGGUUCCGGGUUCAAUUCCUGGCAUUUCCAGGUGAAGCU
Podarcis lilfordi (Lilford's wall lizard) is the source of this 79-nucleotide non-coding RNA. The record is from the annotation of a GenBank genome assembly. Lineage: Eukaryota; Metazoa; Chordata; Lepidosauria; Squamata; Lacertidae.